This 253-nucleotide ribosomal RNA is filed under the name uncultured bacterium. Its description in RNAcentral is "partial 16S ribosomal RNA". It matches the Rfam family "Bacterial small subunit ribosomal RNA", at positions 524 to 776 of the family's 1533-position model. The record is from RNAcentral.
UACGUAGGGGGCAAGCGUUGUCCGGAUUUAUUGGGCGUAAAGAGCGUGUAGGCGGCCAUGUAGGUCCGUUGUGAAAACUCGAGGCUCAACCUCGAGACGCCGAUGGAAACCAUAUGGCUAGAGUCCGGAAGAGGAGAGUGGAAUUCCUGGUGUAGCGGUGAAAUGCGCAGAUAUCGGGAGGAACACCUGUGGCGAAAGCGGCUCACUGGACCACAACUGACGCUGAGGCGCGAAAGCUAGGGGAGCAAACAGG